RNAcentral lists this ribosomal RNA (506 nucleotides) under Paraburkholderia sp. RNAcentral describes it as "bacterial SSU rRNA". It matches the Rfam family "Bacterial small subunit ribosomal RNA", at positions 227 to 725 of the family's 1533-position model. Lineage: Bacteria; Pseudomonadati; Pseudomonadota; Betaproteobacteria; Burkholderiales; Burkholderiaceae. The record is from RNAcentral.
CGGCCGAUGGCAGAUUAGCUAGUUGGUGGGGUAAAGGCCUACCAAGGCGACGAUCUGUAGCUGGUCUGAGAGGACGACCAGCCACACUGGGACUGAGACACGGCCCAGACUCCUACGGGAGGCAGCAGUGGGGAAUUUUGGACAAUGGGGGAAACCCUGAUCCAGCAAUGCCGCGUGUGUGAAGAAGGCCUUCGGGUUGUAAAGCACUUUUGUCCGGAAAGAAAUCCUGUGGGCUAAUACCCUGUGGGGAUGACGGUACCGGAAGAAUAAGCACCGGCUAACUACGUGCCAGCAGCCGCGGUAAUACGUAGGGUGCAAGCGUUAAUCGGAAUUACUGGGCGUAAAGCGUGCGCAGGCGGUCCGCUAAGACAGAUGUGAAAUCCCCGGGCUUAACCUGGGAACUGCAUUUGUGACUGGCGGGCUAGAGUAUGGCAGAGGGGGGUAGAAUUCCACGUGUAGCAGUGAAAUGCGUAGAGAUGUGGAGGAAUACCGAUGGCGAAGGCAGC